RNAcentral lists this ribosomal RNA (583 nucleotides) under Georgenia sp. CPCC203921. Its description in RNAcentral is "bacterial SSU rRNA". It matches the Rfam family "Bacterial small subunit ribosomal RNA", at positions 95 to 687 of the family's 1533-position model. Lineage: Bacteria; Bacillati; Actinomycetota; Actinomycetes; Allobogoriellales; Allobogoriellaceae. The record is from RNAcentral.
GUGGCGAACGGGUGAGUAACACGUGAGCAACCUGCCCCUGACUUCGGGAUAACCUCGGGAAAUCGUGGCUAAUACCGGAUAUGACGCCCUGCCGCAUGGUGGGGUGUGGAAAGACUGUGUCGGUUGGGGAUGGGCUCGCGGCCUAUCAGCUUGUUGGUGGGGUGAUGGCCUACCAAGGCGACGACGGGUAGCCGGCCUGAGAGGGUGACCGGCCACACUGGGACUGAGACACGGCCCAGACUCCUACGGGAGGCAGCAGUGGGGAAUAUUGCACAAUGGGCGCAAGCCUGAUGCAGCGACGCCGCGUGAGGGAUGACGGCCUUCGGGUUGUAAACCUCUUUCAGCAGGGGAGAAGGCCUUCGGGUUGACGGUACCUGCAGAAGAAGCGCCGGCUAACUACGUGCCAGCAGCCGCGGUAAUACGUAGGGCGCAAGCGUUGUCCGGAAUUAUUGGGCGUAAAGAGCUCGUAGGCGGUUUGUCGCGUCUGCUGUGAAAACGCGAGGCUCAACCUCGCGCCUGCAGUGGGUACGGGCAGACUAGAGUGCGGUAGGGGAGACUGGAAUUCCUGGUGUAGCGGUGGAAU